This 975-nucleotide ribosomal RNA is filed under the name Clostridium sp. enrichment culture clone NHT48. Its description in RNAcentral is "bacterial SSU rRNA". It matches the Rfam family "Bacterial small subunit ribosomal RNA", at positions 487 to 1461 of the family's 1533-position model. Lineage: Bacteria; Bacillati; Bacillota; Clostridia; Eubacteriales; Clostridiaceae. The record is from RNAcentral.
GAAGCCACGGCUAACUACGUGCCAGCAGCCGCGGUAAUACGUAGGUGGCAAGCGUUGUCCGGAUUUACUGGGCGUAAAGGGAGCGUAGGUGGAUAUUUAAGUGGGAUGUGAAAUACUCGGGCUUAACCUGGGUGCUGCAUUCCAAACUGGAUAUCUAGAGUGCAGGAGAGGAAAGGAGAAUUCCUAGUGUAGCGGUGAAAUGCGUAGAGAUUAGGAAGAAUACCAGUGGCGAAGGCGCCUUUCUGGACUGUAACUGACACUGAGGCUCGAAAGCGUGGGGAGCAAACAGGAUUAAAUACCCUGGUAGUCCACGCCGUAAACGAUGAAUACUAGGUGUAGGGGUUGUCAUGACCUCUGUGCCGCCGCUAACGCAUUAAGUAUUCCGCCUGGGGAGUACGGUCGCAAGAUUAAAACUCAAAGGAAUUGGCGGGGGCCCGCACAAGCAGCGGAGCAUGUGGUUUAAUUCGAAGCAACGCGAAGAACCUUACCUAGACUUGACAUCUCCUGAAUUACUCUGUAAUGGAGGAAGCCACUUCGGUGGCAGGAAGACAGGUGGUGCAUGGUUGUCGUCAGCUCGUGUCGUGAGAUGUUGGGUUAAGUCCCGCAACGAGCGCAACCCUUAUUGUUAGUUGCUACCAUUUAGUUGAGCACUCUAGCGAGACUGCCCGGGUUAACCGGGAGGAAGGUGGGGAUGACGUCAAAUCAUCAUGCCCCUUAUGUCUAGGGCUACACACGUGCUACAAUGGUCGGUACAAUGAGAUGCAACCUCGCGAGAGUGAGCAAAACUAUAAAACCGAUCUCAGUUCGGAUUGUAGGCUGAAACUCGCCUACAUGAAGCUGGAGUUGCUAGUAAUCGCGAAUCAGAAUGUCGCGGUGAAUACGUUCCCGGGCCUUGUACACACCGCCCGUCACACCAUGAGAGUUGGCAAUACCCAAAGUUCGUGAGCUAACGCGUAAGCGAGGCAGCGACCUAAG